This 435-nucleotide ribosomal RNA is filed under the name uncultured bacterium. Its description in RNAcentral is "bacterial SSU rRNA". It matches the Rfam family "Bacterial small subunit ribosomal RNA", at positions 29 to 507 of the family's 1533-position model. The record is from RNAcentral.
AACGAACGCUGGCGGCAGGCUUAACACAUGCAAGUCGAACGAACGUAGCAAUACGUUAGUGGCAGACGGGUGAGUAACGCGUGGGAACGUGCCCUUUAGUUCGGAAUAACACAGAGAAAUUUGUGCUAAUACCGGAUAAUCCCGAGAGGGGAAAGAUUUAUCGCUGAAGGAGCGGCCCGCGUCUGAUUAGCUAGUUGGUGAGGUAAUGGCUCACCAAGGCGACGAUCAGUAGCUGGUCUGAGAGGAUGAUCAGCCACACUGGGACUGAGACACGGCCCAGACUCCUACGGGAGGCAGCAGUGGGGAAUAUUGGACAAUGGGGGCAACCCUGAUCCAGCCAUGCCGCGUGAGUGAUGAAGGCCUUAGGGUUGUAAAACUCUUUUGUCCGGGAAGAUACUGACUGUACCGGAAGAAUAAGCCCCGGCUAACUUCGUG